AGAGUUUGAUCCUGGCUCAGGAUGAACGCUGGCGGCGUGCUUAAUACAUGCAAGUCGAACGAAGUUAUUUCGCUGAUGCGAUUCGUCAAAUCUUGAAAUAACUUAGUGGCGGACGGGUGAGUAACGCGUGGGUAACCUGCCUUACACAGGGGGAUAACAGUUAGAAAUGACUGCUAAUACCGCAUAAGCGCACGGUAUCGCAUGAUACAGUGUGAAAAGAUUUAUCGGUGUAAGAUGGACCCGCGUCUGAUUAGCUAGUUGGUGAGGUAACGGCCCACCAAGGCGACGAUCAGUAGCCGGCCUGAGAGGGUGAACGGCCACAUUGGGACUGAGACACGGUCCAAACUCCUACGGGAGGCAGCAGUGAGGAAUAUUGGUCAAUGGGCGCGAGCCUGAACCAGCCAAGUAGCGUGCAGGAUGACGGCCCUAUGGGUUGUAAACUGCUUUUAUGCGGGGAUAAAGUCACCCACGUGUGGGUGUUUGUAGGUACCGCAUGAAUAAGGACCGGCUAAUUCCGUGCCAGCAGCCGCGGUAAUACGGAAGGUCCGGGCGUUAUCCGGAUUUAUUGGGUUUAAAGGGAGCGCAGGCUGAAGGAUAAGCGUGACGUGAAAUGUAGCCGCUCAACGGCUGAACUGCGUCGCGAACUGUUUUUCUUGAGUGAGUACGACGUCAGCGGAAUUCGUGGUGUAGCGGUGAAAUGCUUAGAUAUCACGAAGAACCCCGAUUGCGAAGGCAGCUGACGAGUCCUUUACUGACGCUAAAGCUCGAAGGUGCGGGUAUCGAACAGGAUUAGAUACCCUGGUAGUCCGCACGGUAAACGAUGGAUGCCCGCUGUUGGCGAUACAAUGUCAGCGGCCAAGCGAAAGCGUUAAGCAUCCCACCUGGGGAGUACGCCGGCAACGGUGAAACUCAAAGGAAUUGACGGGGGCCCGCACAAGCGGAGGAACAUGUGGUUUAAUUCGAUGAUACGCGAGGAACCUUACCCGGGCUUGAACUGCAGCAGAACGACAGAGAGAUCUUGAGGCCCUUCGGGGCUGCUGUGGAGGUGCUGCAUGGUUGUCGUCAGCUCGUGCCGUGAGGUGUCGGCUUAAGUGCCAUAACGAGCGCAACCCCUUCCGUCAGUUGCCAUCACUUUGGGUGGGCACUCUGGCGGUACUGCCACCGUAAGGUGUGAGGAAGGUGGGGAUGACGUCAAAUCAGCACGGCCCUUACGUCCGGGGCUACACACGUGUUACAAUGGGUGGUACAGAGAGUCAACCGCCGGCAACGUCGGUUUAAUCCUUAAAGCCAUCCUCAGUUCGGAUUGGGGUCUGCAACCCGACCCCAUGAAGCUGGAUUCGCUAGUAAUCGCGCAUCAGCCAUGGCGCGGUGAAUACGUUCCCGGGCCUUGUACACACCGCCCGUCAAGCCAUGAAAGCCGGGGGCGCCUGAAGUCCGUGACCGCGAGGGUCGGCCUAGGGUGAAACCGGUGAUUGGGGCUAAGUCGUAACAAGGUA
RNAcentral lists this ribosomal RNA (1496 nucleotides) under uncultured rumen bacterium. Its description in RNAcentral is "bacterial SSU rRNA". It matches the Rfam family "Bacterial small subunit ribosomal RNA". The record is from RNAcentral.